UUCGCUGACGAGUGGCGGACGGGUGAGUAAUGUCUGGGAAACUGCCUGAUGGAGGGGGAUAACUACUGGAAACGGUAGCUAAUACCGCAUAACGUCGCAAGACCAAAGAGGGGGACUUUCGGGCCUCUUGCCAUCGGAUGUGCCCAGAUGGGAUUAGCUAGUAGGUGGGGUAACGGCUCACCUAGGCGACGAUCCCUAGCUGGUCUGAGAGGAUGACCAGCCACACUGGAACUGAGACACGGUC
RNAcentral lists this ribosomal RNA (244 nucleotides) under Escherichia coli. RNAcentral's name for it is "partial 16S ribosomal RNA". It matches the Rfam family "Bacterial small subunit ribosomal RNA", at positions 84 to 331 of the family's 1533-position model. The record is from RNAcentral. Lineage: Bacteria; Pseudomonadati; Pseudomonadota; Gammaproteobacteria; Enterobacterales; Enterobacteriaceae.